This is a long non-coding RNA of Lactuca sativa (garden lettuce), 564 nucleotides long. RefSeq lists it as uncharacterized. The record is from RefSeq and is a predicted model, not a curated record. Lineage: Eukaryota; Viridiplantae; Streptophyta; Magnoliopsida; Asterales; Asteraceae.
AAUGUUUAGGGCAUCAAGUUAGGAACUAAUUAUCAAUUGACACUUGCCAAUUGUAGAAGUUAUUGAAAGUACAAAAGUCGUUUGGGUUAAAUUUAAAAAUUUUGUCUGUGUGGUUUUCUUAAAAUUAUAUGUUUUGUCCAACCGUAUUUUUUUAGAUCUGGCAACCAAACCCUCUUCUUCCCUUCCGUUUCAUUUUCCCUUCCGAGUUCAUCAUCCUCGUCCAUGAAAAACAAACCCAAAAAAAAAUAUACGAUUAUGAACAUUUAUAAAAUCAAAAUACUCUGAGGGAAAAGGUUGGCUCCCACCACCACCUUUUACCAAAUACAACCUCCAAAGGUAUGUGAACAUAGAGAUGUAGGGGAAGAUGGUUGAGUAUUUGUCGGUGCUGCAUAACACAGUGGUGGUUCCGACGACUGUGUUUGGUUGUCCGGUGUUUGUCUUCAAAGUGAUGCAGGGUGUAUAGAAAUAUCAAUCUGGAAUGGUUUUGGCUAGGUGUGAAACCGUUUCGUUUUAUUACUUUUUAUGAUUUUCGAAUCAAUGAAGGUUCCUAGACGGUGGAUUUCA